AUUGAACGCUGGCGGCAGGCCUAACACAUGCAAGUCGAGCGAGCGGCGGACGGGUGAGUAAUGUAUGGGGACUGCCCGGUAGCGGGGGAUAACUACUGGAAACGGUGGCUAAUACCGCAUACUAUCGGAUGACCCAUAUGGGAUUAGCUAGUAGGUGGGGUAAAGGCUCACCUAGGCGACGAUCCCUAGCUGGUCUGAGAGGAUGACCACCCACACUGGGACUGAGCAACGGCCCAGACUCCUACGGAGGCAGCAGUGGGGAAUAUUGCACAAUGGGCGAAAGCCUGAUGCAGCCAUGCCGCGUGUAUGAGGAAGGCCUUAGGGUUGUAAAGUACUUUCAGCGGGGAGGCGGUACCCGCAGAAGAAGCACCGGCUAACUACGUGCCAGCAGCCGCGGUAAUAC
Molecule: ribosomal RNA, 403 nt
Filed under: uncultured bacterium
Lineage: Bacteria
Description: partial 16S ribosomal RNA
Rfam family: Bacterial small subunit ribosomal RNA
Source: RNAcentral